UUUCCUUCUCCUUGCCCAUGCCGCUUGCUAAGCCCGGGCCGCCGUGCCUGUGUAUGGCCGUCUGCCUGCUCCACAGGGAUAUGUAGAGUGUUAUCCACCUGGCCAGGUCCUUGGGGAGAUUUUAAAUGUAGCUUUUAAAGCAUCCGGCAACAUCUGCUGAGUGAUUUUGGCUUCCUCUGUCUCCCACUUGAAAUACGUUUGGCUGGACUUGCGUGCUGGGAGCUGACUUGGAAGGACUGGGCUGGCAUCAAGUGUUUUCUUAUGCUUCAUGGCUCCCAUGCAUGAUGAUGAGAACACACCUGAGUCAAAUCAAGAUUCCCAUGGUACUCGCGGUUGAGAACAGCUUUAAGAUCCUGGCUCUCAGAAAAAGCUACUGUGCUCUGUGUGAAAAUGAAGAUGUUCCUGGAGGCAGGCUGCUCUGGGAACCUGCUUGGCAUCCCCCUCUUUCGUAUGACCCUCGUGUGGGUCCUGGCCUGCUGCUGGCUUUGUGCUCUCCUGCUCCCAAAGGAAAGGCAAGCCCUAAGGAUCCCCAGAUGCCAGACAGCUCCGACUGCCACCUCUGUGAAGCCUUGUUGCACACUGAGAUAUUUUGCUGCUGCUGUAGCACUGGCAGGGUGAAAUCAAGGGCUCCUCUGAAUGGCAAUGAGGUCCAGGACAAACACGUGGGGCUGAGGACAGGAUAGCUUCCCGCAGCCACUGCAGCAGGUCCAGCUCUGGAAGAUAAA
Molecule: long non-coding RNA, 725 nt
Organism: Corvus hawaiiensis (hawaiian crow)
Lineage: Eukaryota; Metazoa; Chordata; Aves; Passeriformes; Corvidae
Exons: 5
Source: RefSeq, a predicted model, not a curated record